This 490-nucleotide ribosomal RNA is filed under the name uncultured bacterium. Its description in RNAcentral is "partial 16S ribosomal RNA". It matches the Rfam family "Bacterial small subunit ribosomal RNA", at positions 30 to 507 of the family's 1533-position model. The record is from RNAcentral.
AUUGAACGCUGGCGGCAGGCCUAGCACAUGCAAGUCGAACGGUAACAGGAAGAAGCUUGCUUCUUUGCUGACGAGUGGCGGACGGGUGAGUAAUGUCUGGGAAACUGCCUGAUGGAGGGGGAUAACUACUGGAAACGGUAGCUAAUACCGCAUAACGUCGCAAGACCAAAAAGGGGGACCUUCGGGCCUCUUGCCAUCGGAUGUGCCCAGAUGGGAUUAGCUAGUAGGUGGGGUAACGGCUCACCUAGGCGACGAUCCCUAGCUGGUCUGAGAGGAUGACCAGCCACACUGGAACUGAGACACGGUCCAGACUCCUACGGGAGGCAGCAGUGGGGAAUAUUGCACAAUGGGCGCAAGCCUGAUGCAGCCAUGCCGCGUGUAUGAAGAAGGCCUUCGGGUUGUAAAGUACUUUCAGCGGGGAGGAAGGGAGUAAAGUUAAUACCUUUGCUCAUUGACGUUACCCGCAGAAGAAGCACCGGCUAACUCCGUG